UCAAGCGUUGAGGUCCGCGAACAUGCGGCUUUGGGUAAUUCUUCUCUUUCUAGCUGUAAUAAUUUUAUUGGCCUCUGGAUCCGUCGACGGUCGUCAGAGGAAUAGAUCGAAGAGCCCGAAGGCUGUCCAAAGAACACCAAAAGGAAGAGCCAAGAAGGGUCAAAAGGGCAAAGAUGAUGCGCUUGAAGUACGGAAGCACUGCAAAAUGUUGGGCGGAGAUGGCAAAAGUGCAGUGAAUGAGAUAAAACCAACUCAAACUACGGCUCAAAUGAAAACGGCAAGGACGAAAAAACCGAGGCGUGGAGGAAGUAAUACGAAGAUGAGGAAAAGUAGGAAUAACAGGAAAAGUGGUCAAGUUAGUAGAAAUAAGGGGCGCAGGAAGAGUUUCCGCAAAUCAAGGAAUAGAAAAUUUGGGUAGAAAAAUUGGAGAUGAAAUAUAAAACGUUGACUUUUAACUCGCUAAAUAAGCAGCCUGCUCAAAAAAGUUAAUUUACAUCUUAAUUUAUAUAUUUAGUUUCCAAUAGACUUGAUUUGUUGAUUGUGUUCAAGCCAAAUUAUCAUUCCAUUUAAAAAAAUCAACAGUUGUAUCACAAUCAAGCCUGUGAAACAAAAUCUUAUCAACCUACUUGGGAAAUACUGAACCGAAUUUGAUUUUAAACUAAUUUUAUAGGAUAAGUUGGCGUUAAUUCCAAUAAAAUAAUUCAAAUAUAAAAUUUAACUUUAACUAUGGUUAAAGUGGGGUUGCGUCUUAAAUCUUAAUAUUACAUCAUUUAAUUAAAAUUGAUUACUUUUGGUUUAAUUUUUCUCAAAUUAUCCUUUAAGAGUUCAAAAAUUUCUCAUAUUUCAAUUUUUGCGUUCUUGCAAGUCUUAUAAUUUUCUGUACUUCCUCACCUGUUUGAAUUUAAAUAAAUGUCUGC
Long non-coding RNA from Neocloeon triangulifer, 917 nucleotides. RefSeq lists it as uncharacterized. Lineage: Eukaryota; Metazoa; Arthropoda; Insecta; Ephemeroptera; Baetidae. The transcript is spliced from 3 exons. The record is from RefSeq and is a predicted model, not a curated record.